UCCGCCCCUGUCCCGUCCCUUGGGCGGUGCCAGGUUCCCCUGUGCACUUGCGCCUUCAUCGUCGGUUUACAGGAAAACACUGGGUGCAGAAGGUGCAGGCCUUCGCUGUGUCUUGCCCUGGAGACCGCAGCAUCAUACUGACAUUGAAAUCUGAAGUUGGCUAGUGCCUUUUCUUAGGGGCCUGGCAGCGCCACUGGGACAAGGGUUCCUUACCCUUGCUGGGCCUCGGUUUCCUCAUCUGUGAAAGGAUAGUGUGAGGGCCUUCAGAGGAACAUGGCACAUUACAGAGAAAUGAGGGGGCAGGGGGCAGCGUGGAUCCUGAACAGACAGAGCCUGGGCCAAGCCGAGGGAAGAUCAGCUGAUGUGAGCCAGGCCUCCACACACAUCACUUCCAGGAUCUCCUGUGAGGCCCGGAGUACUGCCAAGGUGAUGACGGAUGUGCCUCCUCCUGGGUCAGCUUCAGGUGAAGUCAUCCGUUCCCUCUGCACUCCAUCAGGACCUGUUCCUGGGAUUUCUGAGUCAUUCGAGAGUUUAUAACAUCACUUUAGGAACCAGAAAUAUUGUGGGAAUGGCUCCGUAAAGGAGGUGCUUAGCCUGCGCCUUCAUGCUGAAAGAGGCUCUUGAGACUGAGCCAAGAAGACUGGCCAGAAAAAUUCAACAGCCUAUAGAGAAUUGAAGGGUACGGGGUGGGGAGGGGGUGCAGUUGCUAAGACCCGUGGCUACUGCAAAAUCAAGUCCAUGUCUAACAAGUGUUUCCACGCUCUCCAGGGAAUGCUAUGUGUGAGUGUUCUUGCAGCUUACAAGAAAGUGUCAUAGUCUUGCACAUGGCUACAUUUGGUGACUGCUAAUGGCAGGAAGAUGUGUGCCUUCGGCUGUCCUGCAGAGAUUGUUACUAUCAUUGCUGAUAUUCUACCUUUAGAAGACGGCGUGGUGGUUUGAUUAAGAAUGCCCCCCAUAGGCUCUGAUAUUUGCAGAUAUUUUAGUCCGGGGAGUGGCACUGCUUUAGAAGGACAAGGAGGCGCAGACUUGUUAGAGGGAGUGUGCUGCAGAGGGCAGGCUUGGAGGUUUCAGAAGCCUACACUCAGCCCAGGGUCUUUCUCUCUCCACAAGAUGCCUACCAAUCAGGAUGUAGCUCUGUUGUGGUAAAUAGUAUUUGGGUUUUUUUUUUCCUAUCUUAGAUUCUUUAGCUCCCAAAUAAAAGACACAAAACCUUUAUCUUUAUAAUAAGCCUUAAAGCUGGGCAAGAUACCUACCCUCUGUGCUAUUUUGUCUACCUCCCUGAGACAUCACUUGUCAUGUUCUGCUGGGGCCGCUCCUAAUCCAACAGACCAGCCCUCAUGGCCAAGCACUCAUGAUCCACCUGCCCCAUGGACCUUUCUUGCUUUUUCCUUUCUCCCUUUCUCUUUGUCGUCUCUGCCUACCUUUCUUCUGCCCAACUACAGAAGUGGGUGUCUUUAUAAUCAAUAGUUUUUAAUUAAGGAGCAAGAUUUGCACAACAAAAGUUGGCGUUGUUGUAAGAAUUCACAAGUUGAGGCAACUAGACCUAGGGAUGAAGAAUUUAACAUGGCAAUACACAGCAACUGGCCAAACCUCAACCUAGCUCCAGCCACAUGCUCCAGCCACAUGCUGGCCUGCUGCCAUGCUCCCUGCCGUGAUAAUGGACUAAGCCUUAGAAACUGUAAGCAAGCAGUUUGUAAGUCUGUAAACUGUAAGCAAACUGUAAGAAAGCAAUGGAAUGUUUUCAUUUAUAAGA
RNAcentral lists this long non-coding RNA (1753 nucleotides) under Mus musculus (house mouse). Its description in RNAcentral is "predicted gene, 31728". The record is from RNAcentral. Lineage: Eukaryota; Metazoa; Chordata; Mammalia; Rodentia; Muridae.